AUACUUACCUGGUAAGGUUGAUAGCAUCAUCAUGGAGGUGGUUUUCCAAGGACAAGCCUUUUCCAUUGUAUUCAAGAUUUGCCAACUCCUGAAAUUUCCCCAAAUGUGCCAAGUGUGAGGAACUGACUGUGUAAUUUGUGUUAGUGGAAUACUGAGUUGACAUUUUCCCC
Molecule: small nuclear RNA, 170 nt
Organism: Cricetulus griseus (Chinese hamster)
Lineage: Eukaryota; Metazoa; Chordata; Mammalia; Rodentia; Cricetidae
Gene: U1
Rfam family: U1 spliceosomal RNA
About the family: U1 is a small nuclear RNA (snRNA) component of the spliceosome (involved in pre-mRNA splicing). Its 5' end forms complementary base pairs with the 5' splice junction, thus defining the 5' donor site of an intron.
Source: Ensembl